UGCCAGCCGCCGCGGUAAUACGGAGGGUGCAAGCGUUAAUCGGAAUUAUUGGGCUUAAAGGGUGCGUAGGCGGCGCUGUAAGUCGGGUGUGAAAUCCCACGGCUCAACCGUGGAAUUGCGCCCGAUACUGCAGUGCUCGAGGGAGACAGGGGUGAGCGGAACUGAUGGUGGAGCGGUGAAAUGCGUUGAUAUCAUCAGGAACACCGGUGGCGAAAGCGGCUCACUGGGUCUCUUCUGACGCUGAGGCACGAAAGCUAGGGUAGCGAACGGGAUUAGAUA
Molecule: ribosomal RNA, 279 nt
Filed under: uncultured bacterium
Lineage: Bacteria
Description: partial 16S ribosomal RNA
Rfam family: Bacterial small subunit ribosomal RNA
Source: RNAcentral